This 829-nucleotide ribosomal RNA is filed under the name Keissleriella acaciae. RNAcentral describes it as "eukaryotic LSU rRNA". It matches the Rfam family "Eukaryotic large subunit ribosomal RNA", at positions 86 to 933 of the family's 3401-position model. The record is from RNAcentral. Lineage: Eukaryota; Fungi; Ascomycota; Dothideomycetes; Pleosporales; Lentitheciaceae.
ACGGCGAGUGAAGCGGCAACAGCUCAAAUUUGAAAUCUGGCCUCCUUUGGGGGUCCGAGUUGUAAUUUGCAGAGGGUGCUUUGGCGUCGGCAGCGGUCUAAGUUCCUUGGAACAGGACAUCACAGAGGGUGAGAAUCCCGUACGUGGUCGCCUGCCUUCGCCGUGUAAAGCCCCUUCGACGAGUCGAGUUGUUUGGGAAUGCAGCUCUAAAUGGGAGGUAAAUUUCUUCUAAAGCUAAAUACCGGCCAGAGACCGAUAGCGCACAAGUAGAGUGAUCGAAAGAUGAAAAGCACUUUGGAAAGAGAGUCAAACAGCACGUGAAAUUGUUGAAAGGGAAGCGCUUGCAGCCAGACUUGCUCGUAGUUGCUCAUCCGGGUCCGCCCGGAGCACUCUUCUGCGAGCAGGCCAGCAUCAGUUUGGGCGACCGGAUAAAGGCCUCUGUCAUGUAUCUUCCUUCGGGAUGACCUUAUAGGGGAGGCGUAAUGCGGCCAGCCCGGACUGAGGUCCGCGCUUCUGCUAGGAUGCUGGCGUAAUGGCUGUAAGCGGCCCGUCUUGAAACACGGACCAAGGAGUCUAACAUCUAUGCGAGUGUUUGGGUGUCAAGCCCGGGCGCGUAAUGAAAGUGAACGGAGGUGGGAACCCCUCGGGGUGCACCAUCGACCGAUCCUGAUGUCUUCGGAUGGAUUUGAGUAAGAGCAUAGCUGUUGGGACCCGAAAGAUGGUGAACUAUGCUUGAAUAGGGUGAAGCCAGAGGAAACUCUGGUGGAGGCUCGCAGCGGUUCUGACGUGCAAAUCGAUCGUCAAAUUUGGGCAUAGGGGCGAAAGACUA